GGCGAGAUAGCUCAGUUGGUAGAGCGCCUGACUAUUUCAGGGGACCCGGGUUCAAAUCUCAGUCUCGUCU
Molecule: non-coding RNA, 70 nt
Organism: Saccostrea cuccullata (small rock oyster)
Lineage: Eukaryota; Metazoa; Mollusca; Bivalvia; Ostreida; Ostreidae
Source: the annotation of a RefSeq genome assembly